UACGUAGGGUGCAAGCGUUUGUCCGGAAUUAUUGGGCGUAAAGAGCUCAUAGGCGGUUUGUCGCGUCGGCUGUGAAAAACCUGGGGCUCAACCCCGGGCCUGCAGCCGAUACGGGCAAACUAGAAUUCGGUAGGGGAGACUGGAAUUCCUGGUGUAGCGGUGAAAUGACGCAGAUAUCAGGAGGAACACCAAUAGCGAAGGCAGCUCGCUGGGACGUUACUGACACUGAGGCGCGAAAGCGUGGGGAGCGAACAGG
This 256-nucleotide ribosomal RNA is filed under the name uncultured bacterium. Its description in RNAcentral is "partial 16S ribosomal RNA". It matches the Rfam family "Bacterial small subunit ribosomal RNA", at positions 524 to 776 of the family's 1533-position model. The record is from RNAcentral.